Molecule: ribosomal RNA, 711 nt
Filed under: uncultured fungus
Lineage: Eukaryota; Fungi
Description: SSU rRNA
Rfam family: Eukaryotic small subunit ribosomal RNA
Source: RNAcentral
UAGAGGCCUACCAUGGUGGUAACGGGUAACGGGGUGUUAGGGCACGACACCGGAGAGGGAGCCUGAGAAACGGCUACCACAUCCAAGGAUGGCAGCAGGCGCGCAAAUUACCCAAUCCCGACACGGGGAGGUAGUGACAAUAAAUAACAAUACGGGGUUCUUUCGGAUCUCGUAAUUGGAAUGAGUACAAUUUAAAUCUCUUAACGAGGAACAAUUGGAGGGCAAGUCUGGUGCCAGCAGCCGCGGUAAUUCCGGCUCCAAUAGCGUAUAUUAAGUUGUUGCAGUUAAAAAGCUCGUAGUUGAAUUUCGGGGUUAGUAGGUUGGUCAUGCCUCUGGUAUGUACUGGUCUCACUGAUUCCUCCUUCCUUAUGAACCGUAAUGCCAUUAAUUUGGUGUUGCGGGGAAUUUGGACUGUUACUUUGAAAAAAUUAGAGUGUUUAAAGCAAGCUAACGCUUGAAUACAUUAGCAUGGAAUAAUGAAAUAGGACGUUCGAUCUUAUUUUGUUGGUUUCUAGGAUUGACGUAAUGAUUAAUAGGGAUAGUUGGGGGCAUUAGUAUUCAAUUGUCAGAGGUGAAAUUCUUGGAUUUAUUGAAGACUAACUACUGCGAAAGCAUUUGCCAAGGAUGUUUUCAUUAAUCAAGAACGAAAGUUAGGGGAUCGAAGACGAUCAGAUACCGUCGUAGUCUUAACCAUAAACUAUGCCGACUAGG